RNAcentral lists this transfer RNA (77 nucleotides) under Chloroflexota bacterium. RNAcentral describes it as "tRNA-Pro". It matches the Rfam family "tRNA". Rfam says of the family: Transfer RNA (tRNA) molecules are approximately 80 nucleotides in length. Their secondary structure includes four short double-helical elements and three loops (D, anti-codon, and T loops). Lineage: Bacteria; Bacillati; Chloroflexota. The record is from RNAcentral.
CGGGGUGUGGCUCAGCCCGGCAGAGCGCCUGCUUUGGGAGCAGGAGGUCCCGCGUUCGAAUCGCGGCAUCCCGACCA